CUGGAUAGGCAGGCCUUGAUCCUACAAAACUUUAAUUAACAGCUAAACACCCAAACCAGCGGGCUUCUAUCCG
This 73-nucleotide transfer RNA is filed under the name Liolaemus nigroviridis. RNAcentral's name for it is "tRNA-Asn". Lineage: Eukaryota; Metazoa; Chordata; Lepidosauria; Squamata. The record is from RNAcentral.